AGCGAACGCUGGCGGCAGGCUUAACACAUGCAAGUCGAGCGCCCCGCUAGGGGAGCGGCAGACGGGAGAGUAACACGUGGGAACAUACCUUUUGGUUCGGAACAACUGAGGGAAACUUCAGCUAAUACCGGAUAAGCCCUUACGGGGAAAGAUUUAUCGCCGAAAGAUUGGCCCGCGUCUGAUUAGCUAGUUGGUGAGGUAACGGCUCACCAAGGCGACGAUCAGUAGCUGGUCUGAGAGGAUGAUCAGCCUCACUGGGACUGAGACACGGCCCAGACUCCUACGGGAGGCAGCAGUGGGGAAUAUUGGACAAUGGGGGCAACCCUGAUCCAGCCAUGCCGCGUGAGUGAUGAAGGCCUUAGGGUUGUAAAGCUCUUUUGCCCGGGAAGAUAAUGACGGUACCGGGAGAAUAAGCCCCGGCUAACUUCGUG
This 431-nucleotide ribosomal RNA is filed under the name uncultured bacterium. RNAcentral's name for it is "partial 16S ribosomal RNA". It matches the Rfam family "Bacterial small subunit ribosomal RNA", at positions 29 to 507 of the family's 1533-position model. The record is from RNAcentral.